Molecule: ribosomal RNA, 429 nt
Filed under: Gemmatimonadota bacterium
Lineage: Bacteria; Pseudomonadati; Gemmatimonadota
Description: Gemmatimonadetes bacterium partial 16S ribosomal RNA
Rfam family: Bacterial small subunit ribosomal RNA
Source: RNAcentral
UAGGGAAUCUUCGGCAAUGGACGAAAGUCUGACCGAGCAACGCCGCGUGAGUGAAGAAGGUUUUCGGAUCGUAAAACUCUGUUGUUAGAGAAGAACAAGGACGUUAGUAACUGAACGUCCCCUGACGGUAUCUAACCAGAAAGCCACGGCUAACUACGUGCCAGCAGCCGCGGUAAUACGUAGGUGGCAAGCGUUGUCCGGAUUUAUUGGGCGUAAAGCGAGCGCAGGCGGUUUCUUAAGUCUGAUGUGAAAGCCCCCGGCUCAACCGGGGAGGGUCAUUGGAAACUGGGAGACUUGAGUGCAGAAGAGGAGAGUGGAAUUCCAUGUGUAGCGGUGAAAUGCGUAGAUAUAGGGAGGAACACCAGUGGAGAAGGCGGCUCUCUGGUCUGUAACUGACGCUGAGGCUCGAAAGCGUGGGGAGCAAACAGG